RNAcentral lists this ribosomal RNA (2265 nucleotides) under Triticum aestivum (bread wheat). Its description in RNAcentral is "partial small subunit ribosomal RNA". The record is from RNAcentral. Lineage: Eukaryota; Viridiplantae; Streptophyta; Magnoliopsida; Poales; Poaceae.
AUGCAGCCCCCCUUUGACCCAACCCUAACCGCCUGCCUCGCCGCCCCGCCCUCCCCUCAGUCUCCCUUCAUCAUCGUUGCUGGCCGCUGCCCCGAUCAUCCCUCUAAGCCCCGCCGCACCAGCGAAGAACUCCGGCGAUCCUCUCGAACGGUCGUUGGCCGAAUUUUAUUAGAAAGAAGGGAAGAGUACAAAGUUUCCAGCUUGUUCGGACAUCGGAGUGGCUCUCAGCAAAAAAGAAAAAAUGUGACUAGUCUGGACGAAUCAACCAAAGAGACAUCAUCCAGAAAUAAGAAUGGCAGUCACUCCCGGGCUCUCACAGCGAUCAGGCACUCUCGGCCGUUGGAUCUGUUUUACCAGUCGCUGCUGACCGUUCGAUUGCGGCCCCGAGUGACAUCGUUCGUUGGAUAUUUCAUCAAUCGAUCGAUUAGGCACUCUCGGCCGUCGGAUCUGUUUUACCAGUCGCUGCUGACCGUUCGAUCGCGGCUCCGAGUAACAUCGUCCGUUGGAUAUUUCAUCAAUCGCCCGCCCCCCGAAGAUGACCUAGGCGCCGCUUCCUCCCCCACUCCUGCCGCCCAUCCCCUCUUGCUCCCACCUCAUCCUUCCAAACCCUACCCCGCUCGCCUCCCUACCCAGCCGCCGCCAUCUCCUUCGCCGCCGGGAGCUCGACCGGGAUGCCUGCUCACGCUCACGGAGGCCGAGGCGGCCGCGCUGCUCUGGUUCGCGCUCCACCUACGCCGCCGGCCGGAGGGGGCCGCGGCGGCGGCCGUGCAGCCCGGCGACCAGGAGCUCGUCGGCGCGGUUCCCUCGACGGAUGGAUGCCUGCUCGCGCUCACGGAGGCCGAGGCGGCCGCGCUGCUCUGGUUCGCAUUCCUAGAGUUCGCGGAGCCUGACGCCACUACUUCCUUCCCAUCCCCCGCCCCGUUCCUCUCUCUCUCCUGGCUGAGCCUGACGCCACCACUGCUCCCCUCCUCAAGGUCGCCCCAAGCCGUCAUUGCUCGGUUGGCUCCUGUCCAUGCCUCGCGCUUCUGGCAGCUCCUCGAGGUCGUCGUGCCCUACUCCAGGGCCUCCAUGGCACAGCUACUCGGCAAGUUGCCCCUGCAGUUCACAAGCAAGCAGGUCGUAGAGGACAUGUCACUGGCUAUGUUCAACCGUGCCCUAAAGCUUUAUGGACCAGGUCUACAAGUCAGGGGUGUUGGAUUUACUGGGUCACUCGCUAGCUCAUGCCCAAAACAUGGUGACCACAGGGAUCCAACCACAACUACAUCAUGGAAGGGGCCAAGGAUCAGCGACCCUAUACACAUCAGCAAUGACAAAGGUAUCGUCAUAUACAUUAUAGAACUGCUGCCACAAGAAAUAAACAGUGGUGGUCUUUUCAGAGAACUACAGUCGCAAGAAAAAGACCUAGAGUUUCAGUUGCAUGAAGCAAUCCAUGCUUGUGGUGUGAUAUUACCUUUGACAGAAGAAGGUGAUAUCAUCAUGACUCCAACAACUCCACUUACGCAUCCAGCAAUCUUGCAGGGAAUAGUUCUAAACCAUCGGCUUCAGUUGGCAUGUUACCUGAGGUCAUACUUCCCAUUACAGGCCGACGAGACGGCAGAUUCGGUUAGUGAGAAGAUCGUCCAAAAGAACAUCGUCGAGAAAGACGAGCUGAUGCAAAGAGAAAUAGUGUGCAGUACAAUUGUAUCAAAUCUAUUGGCAUUUGUCAUUAUGCUUAUUGAUAUAUCUCCUCCCUCCCUGGACUAUUAUUGUAGCUUCUCGUGGCCAGGGGCGCAAUUGCCUUUGAAGAUGUAUAGCGGUGGUGCAUACGAACUAAUCUUCCUGUUCGUACUCCUACAUUGCAUAUCUGAACUUGGCCAAGAAUGGCCCAAUGCUUCUCUUGCCUCAGAGGCAUGUUCAUAUGAAGCAAAUAAAAGGCAUGCAGUUCUUUACGAUUUGAGCUGCCACCCCUCCGGCCUGCCCGGCGGCGGCACACUGCUCUGCCAGCCGCCCCUGAGCCCACGCGGCUUGCCGGAUCAUGCGCCUCCCCAGAGUGCCACCCACGCUAACCUGAGAUCCGCCUCUGCAGGACGUGAUGGCCAGAUCGCCGGAAGCCCCUACCCCGACCCCAAGGUUGCUGGCAGCGUCAACCCCGACGGCGAGGUCACCGUCACCCCCAACCUUGACGCCCAGGUCAGCAGAAGGUGGUACAAGGACCGGCUGUUAAACAUACAUGUGCCAACAUGUGUCACGGCGCAGCAUUGCUUGGCAGCCAAGGCUUUGGAGUAG